AGAGUUUGAUCAUGGCUCAGAUUGAACGCUGGCGGCAUGCUUAAUACAUGCAAGUCGAACGGUAACAGAUUCUUCGGAAUGCUGACGAGUGGCGGACGGGUGAGUAAUACAUAGGAAUCUGCCCAUGUAGUGGGGGACAACUUGGGGAAACUCAAGCUAAUACCGCAUAAUUCCUACGGGAUAAAGAGGGCCACUGCUUGCAAGCUCUUGCUACUGGAUGAGCCUAUGUCAGAUUAGUUAGUUGGUAAGGUAAUGGCUUACCAAGACAGCGAUCCGUAGCUGGUUUGAGAGGAUGAUCAGCCACACUGGGACUGAGACACGGCCCAGACUCCUACGGGAGGCAGCAGUAGGGAGUAUUGGACAAUGGGCGCAAGCCUGAUCCAGCAAUGCCGCGUGUGUGAAGAAGGCCUGCGGGUUGUAAAGCACUUUCAAUUGGGAAGAAAGAUUAUGAGUUAAUACCUUAUA
Molecule: ribosomal RNA, 465 nt
Filed under: uncultured bacterium
Lineage: Bacteria
Description: bacterial SSU rRNA
Rfam family: Bacterial small subunit ribosomal RNA
Source: RNAcentral